Molecule: long non-coding RNA, 1999 nt
Filed under: Homo sapiens (human)
Lineage: Eukaryota; Metazoa; Chordata; Mammalia; Primates; Hominidae
Description: HSALNT0155472
Source: RNAcentral
GCCAUCAACAUCAACCAGAAAAUAACCAUUAGAAAUUUAACUGCGUUCAGUUGAUGACCUUCACUAAGCUAAAUUCAGCAGUUUGUCAGCUACAAAACAUUAAAUAGACACAAUUAAGAAGUUUGAAAAACAUUAAGCAGAAUUUAAACUAAAGUAACAUGAACAUUAACGGGAAUAAAACGUAACUAGAUUCAUGGUACUGACAUUUUAGACAAGUGCUUCAAAUGGAAGGCAAAAGUGGGGGGACACAGCGGUGCAGAAAUCCAAAACUCAGUAGGUACACAGUUCAGCAGCUUAUCAUUUCUCCACCUUGAUAAAUGUACACCCAAUAAUGACAAUAACAAUAAUGAAAAUGUACUAAGCAGUUACUAGGUGCUGCACAUUUUUCUACUUCGUUCCAUUUUCGUUUACAGUUCAUUGGAUUUUAUUAUCCUCCACACUGCAAAUAAGAAACGGAGGCUCAGAGGCAUUAGAUAAAUUGCUCAACUUCACAGAGCUGGUAAGCAGACUUGCUAGGAUUCAAACCCAGGUCUCUGAUUCCAAAGCUGCUGUUCUUUCCCCACAGCCUCCGAAUGAAGAAUCACAUGACUUUUACCUUUUCCCAUGAUCAGAGGGAAACGUUUCAAAGUUUCAAAGAUUCGUUUUGUGCUUUCUGCACCCUAAGAGAGCAAGCUGAAAACAUCCACCUUGAAUGGUAGCAUUACAUAUCACUUAUCUAUGACACAGAAAGCUGAUAAAAACAGAUUCUCCUUAAAAAAAAAAAAAGGCAAAUUACAAAACAAAACAAAAAGUUGUUUACCAACAAAAAUCAGGAAGUAUUUGAGUACCUAUUAUAGAAGUCCAGCCCCAGUAUUAGAUACUAUAAGGUCUCCGAGAGGAGUAUUAAGACACAAUGCCCUUAAAAAAACUCCCACUCCAGUUGGGACAAGAACAAGUUCAACAGCCAAGGAACAAGUGCUGAAUCCGAGUGCCACAAAGCCAUGGGGGCAGGGAAGUCAGGGAACACCCUCUGGAGGAAGUAUAUCUGCAGCAGGGGCUUGAAGGAAGUGAAAUGGAGAAUUUGCACAGAAAAGAAAAAGGAGGCCAGUGCUUCAGAAGGGGGAACAACAGAAGCAAAACCCAAGAAGCCGUAACUAACUCAGUUCUGCAGGGGACAGACUUGGAGAAGCAGAGAAUAAGGUUCAGAUACGGCCUGAAUCUCCGCUUCUCAUUGAUUCCAGAUUCCUGAGCACUUGGAGAGCCAAGAUAGCCAGGUUAUAACUGGUCCCAGCUUCUCCUUCUGGCCUCCACAAGGGACCCUUUCUGCCAGAAGUCCAGCUGCAGGACUUGGCUCUGGUCCACCUGGCAAUCCUCAGAGUUUGGCAAAACCUGUUGACUGUUGGCACCUGUUAGUCUUUAUACACACACAUAACUCAUGUGUCUCCCUUAAACAAAAUAUAUGAAUUAUUUGCGGUUUCCUCAUUCUUCCUCCUCUAAUCAGGACCCACUAGUGUGUCCCUUCCACAUGCCUCACUACCUGAACAGUACCGUCGAAGGGGGAGCCUGUCUCUCCAAACAGUCCCAAGAUGUCCACUGACUUCCAGAUCAUUCCAGUAGGUCAGGGUUCCUUCUACCUGGCUGCCUCUGCAGAGGAGGGUGAACAUUCCUCAUGGGUCAGGGAGAGCACUUCCUUGGAGAACCCUCAGACACUCACCACCUUUACAAUGGGGACCAGGUAGUUGGUUUACCCCUCGGAGCUUCUCUUCUUCACCUGUUAGAUGAUGGUGAGGCUGAGGGGUGUGAUCUGAAGAGCUUCUUUUCCGUGAUCAAGACCGGGCAGUAGAGAAUCCUGUGGCUAAGCAAUAAGGCAGAUCCAGGUCUAAACCCCAGCUCAGCCACACAAGACCUCUGUGACCUGAGAUGGGGCAAGACAUUUGACCCUACUGAGCCUUGGCCUCCUUGUCUGUGUAGCAACGGGGAUGGUACCUACCUCAGUGGGCAAAUAAGAUAAUAAUUUAAU